RNAcentral lists this ribosomal RNA (469 nucleotides) under uncultured bacterium. RNAcentral's name for it is "partial 16S ribosomal RNA". It matches the Rfam family "Bacterial small subunit ribosomal RNA", at positions 27 to 507 of the family's 1533-position model. The record is from RNAcentral.
GGACGAACGCUGGCGGCGUGCUUAACACAUGCAAGUCGAACGGAAAGGCCCUGCUUUUGUGGGGUGCUCGAGUGGCGAACGGGUGAGUAACACGUGAGUAACCUGCCCUUGACUUUGGGAUAACUUCAGGAAACUGGGGCUAAUACCGGAUAGGAGCUCCUGCUGCAUGGUGGGGGUUGGAAAGUUUCGGCGGUUGGGGAUGGACUCGCGGCUUAUCAGCUUGUUGGUGGGGUAGUGGCUUACCAAGGCUUUGACGGGUAGCCGGCCUGAGAGGGUGACCGGCCACAUUGGGACUGAGAUACGGCCCAGACUCCUACGGGAGGCAGCAGUGGGGAAUAUUGCACAAUGGGCGGAAGCCUGAUGCAGCAACGCCGCGUGCGGGAUGACGGUCUUCGGGUUGUAAACCGCUUUCGCCUGUGACGAAGCGUGAGUGACGGUAAUGGGUAAAGAAGCACCGGCUAACUACGUG